Molecule: ribosomal RNA, 483 nt
Filed under: uncultured bacterium
Lineage: Bacteria
Description: partial 16S ribosomal RNA
Rfam family: Bacterial small subunit ribosomal RNA
Source: RNAcentral
AUUGAACGCUGGCGGCAGGCCUAACACAUGCAAGUCGAGCGGAUGAAGGGAGCUUGCUCCUGGAUUCAGCGGCGGACGGGUGAGUAAUGCCUAGGAAUCUGCCUGGUAGUGGGGGAUAACGUCCGGAAACGGGCGCUAAUACCGCAUACGUCCUGAGGGAGAAAGUGGGGGAUCUUCGGACCUCACGCUAUCAGAUGAGCCUAGGUCGGAUUAGCUAGUUGGUGGGGUAAAGGCCUACCAAGGCGACGAUCCGUAACUGGUCUGAGAGGAUGAUCAGUCACACUGGAACUGAGACACGGUCCAGACUCCUACGGGAGGCAGCAGUGGGGAAUAUUGGACAAUGGGCGAAAGCCUGAUCCAGCCAUGCCGCGUGUGCGAAGAAGGUCUUCGGAUUGUAAAGCACUUUAAGUUGGGAGGAAGGGCAGUAAGUUAAUACCUUGCUGUUUUGACGUUACCAACAGAAUAAGCACCGGCGAACUUCGU